RNAcentral lists this ribosomal RNA (460 nucleotides) under uncultured bacterium. RNAcentral describes it as "partial 16S ribosomal RNA". It matches the Rfam family "Bacterial small subunit ribosomal RNA", at positions 338 to 795 of the family's 1533-position model. The record is from RNAcentral.
CCUACGGGUGGCAGCAGUGAGGAAUAUUGGUCAAUGGACGCAAGUCUGAACCAGCCAAGUAGCGUGCAGGAUGACGGCCCUAUGGGUUGUAAACUGCUUUUGUACGAGGAUAAACGCAGACACGUGUAUCUGUUUGUAUGUAUCGUACGAAUAAGGAUCGGCUAACUCCGUGCCAGCAGCCGCGGUAAUACGGAGGAUUCAAGCGUUAUCCGGAUUUAUUGGGUUUAAAGGGUGCGUAGGCGGUCGGUUAAGUUAGUGGUGAAAUUCUGAGGCUCAACCGCGGAAUUGCAUCUGAUACUGGACGUCUAGAGAGCAGUUGCGGUAGGCGGAAUUUAUGGUGUAGCGGUGAAAUGCUUAGAUAUCAUGCAGAACACCGAUUGCGAAGGCAGCUGACCAAGCUACUACUGACGUUGAGGCACGAAAGCGUGGGUAGCAAACAGGAUUAGAUACCCUUGUAGUC